CGGGACAUGGCUCAGCUUGGUAGAGUACCUGUUUUGGGAACAGGGGGUCGCAGGUUCAAAUCCUGCUGUCCCGA
Molecule: transfer RNA, 74 nt
Filed under: Candelaria pacifica
Lineage: Eukaryota; Fungi; Ascomycota; Candelariomycetes; Candelariales; Candelariaceae
Also listed under: 1 other name
Description: tRNA-Pro
Rfam family: tRNA
About the family: Transfer RNA (tRNA) molecules are approximately 80 nucleotides in length. Their secondary structure includes four short double-helical elements and three loops (D, anti-codon, and T loops).
Source: RNAcentral